Lathyrus oleraceus (garden pea) is the source of this 107-nucleotide small nucleolar RNA. The record is from RefSeq and is a predicted model, not a curated record. Lineage: Eukaryota; Viridiplantae; Streptophyta; Magnoliopsida; Fabales; Fabaceae.
AGUCUAUGGUGUGGACAAAGUCUCAUCAUAUCCGUGUAUCUCUCCCAAGAGUCGAAAAGAGAUUCAUUGUGUUUCUGUUUAAAUCCGUUGAUUUGGGCCCUUAGCAU